This 465-nucleotide ribosomal RNA is filed under the name uncultured bacterium. Its description in RNAcentral is "partial 16S ribosomal RNA". It matches the Rfam family "Bacterial small subunit ribosomal RNA", at positions 28 to 507 of the family's 1533-position model. The record is from RNAcentral.
GAUGAACGCUGGCGGCGUGCUUAACACAUGCAAGUCGAACGGAAAGGCUCCUGCUUGCAGGGGUACUCGAGUGGCGAACUGGUGAGUAACACGUGGGUGAUCUGCCCUGCACCUCGGGAUAAGCCUGGGAAACUGGGUCUAAUACCGGAUAGGACGAUGGUUUGGAUGCCAUUGUGGAAAGUUUUUCGGUGUGGGAUGAGCUCGCGGCCUAUCAGCUUGUUGGUGGGGUAAUGGCCUACCAAGGCGUCGACGGGUAGCCGGCCUGAGAGGGUGUACGGCCACAUUGGGACUGAGAUACGGCCCAGACUCCUACGGGAGGCAGCAGUGGGGAAUAUUGCACAAUGGGCGCAAGCCUGAUGCAGCGACGCCGCGUGGGGGAUGACGGCCUUCGGGUUGUAAACUCCUUUCGCUAGGGACGAAGCGCAAGUGACGGUACCUGGAGAAGAAGCACCGGCUAACUACGUG